RNAcentral lists this ribosomal RNA (378 nucleotides) under uncultured bacterium. RNAcentral's name for it is "bacterial SSU rRNA". It matches the Rfam family "Bacterial small subunit ribosomal RNA", at positions 525 to 896 of the family's 1533-position model. The record is from RNAcentral.
ACAGAGGAGCCAAGCGUUGUCCGGAUUGACUGGGCGUAAAGCGCACGCAGGCGGACCGGUGCGUGGGGUGUGAAAUCGAACGGCUUAACCGUUCGCCGCCAUCCCAUACGGCCGGUCUGGAGCCAUGCAGAGGUCGGUGGAAUUGCCGGUGUAGUGGUGAAAUGCGUAGAGAUCGGCAGGAACACCCAGGGGGAAACCAGCCGACUGGGCAUGUGCUGACGCUGAGGUGCGAGAGCGUGGGGAGCGAACCGGAUUAGAUACCCGGGUAGUCCACGCCGUAAACGAUGGCCACUCGGCCUUUGGGGGCGGAAUCUCCGUCCCUGGGGGCCCCAGCUAACGCGGGAAGUGGCCCGCCUGGGAACUACGAGCGCAAGCUUA